GACGAACGCUGGCGGCGUGCUUAACACAUGCAAGUCGAACGGAAAGGCCCUGCUCUUGUGGGGUGCUCGAGUGGCGAACGGGUGAGUAACACGUGAGUAAACUGCCCUUGACUUUGGGAUAACUUCAGGAAACUGGGGCUAAUAUCGGACAGGAGCACCUGAUGCACGGUGGGGGUUGGAAAGAUUCGGAGGUUGGGGAUGGACUCGCGGCUUAUCAGCUUGUUGGUGGGGUAGUGGCUUACCAAGGCUUUGACGGGUAGCCGGCCUGAGAGGGUGACCGGCCACAUUGGGACUGAGAUACGGCCCAGACUCCUACGGGAGGCAGCAGUGGGGAAUAUUGCACAAUGGGCGGAAGCCUGAUGCAGCAACUCCGCGUGCGAGAUGACGGCCUUCGGGGUGUAAACCGCUUUCGCCUGUGACGAUGCGUGAGUGACGGUAAUUGGUAAAGAAGCACCGGCUAACUACGUG
RNAcentral lists this ribosomal RNA (468 nucleotides) under uncultured bacterium. Its description in RNAcentral is "partial 16S ribosomal RNA". It matches the Rfam family "Bacterial small subunit ribosomal RNA", at positions 28 to 507 of the family's 1533-position model. The record is from RNAcentral.